GAUGAACGCUGGCGGCGUGCCUAAUACAUGCAAGUCGAGCGAACGGACGAGAAGCUUGCUUCUCUGAUGUUAGCGGCGGACGUGUGAGUAACACGUGGAUAACCUACCUAUAAGACUGGGAUAACCUCGGGAAACCGGAGCUAAUACCGUAUGAUAUUUUGAACCGCAUGGUUCAAAAGUGAAAGACGGUCUUGCUGUCACUUAUAGAUGGAUCCGCGCUGCAUUAGCUAGUUGGUAAGGUAACGGCUUACCAAGGCAACGAUGCAUAGCCGACCUGAGAGGGUGAUAGGCCACACUGGAACUGAGACACGGUCAAGACUCCUACGGGAGGCAGCAGUAGGGAAUCUUCCGCAAUGGGCGAAAGCCUGACGGAGCAACGCGGCGUGAGUGAUGACGGUCUUCGGAUCGUAAAACUCUGUUAUUAGGGAAGAACAUAUGUGUAAGUAACUGUGCACAUCUUGACGGUACCUAAUCAGAAAGCCACGGCUAACUACGUG
This 497-nucleotide ribosomal RNA is filed under the name uncultured bacterium. RNAcentral's name for it is "partial 16S ribosomal RNA". It matches the Rfam family "Bacterial small subunit ribosomal RNA", at positions 28 to 507 of the family's 1533-position model. The record is from RNAcentral.